This 787-nucleotide ribosomal RNA is filed under the name uncultured Acaulospora. RNAcentral describes it as "SSU rRNA". It matches the Rfam family "Eukaryotic small subunit ribosomal RNA", at positions 325 to 1111 of the family's 1831-position model. The record is from RNAcentral. Lineage: Eukaryota; Fungi; Glomeromycota; Glomeromycetes; Diversisporales; Acaulosporaceae.
AUGGUAGGAUAGAGGCCUACCAUGGUUUUAACGGGUAACGGGGAAUUAGGGUUCGAUUCCGGAGAGGGAGCCUGAGAAACGGCUGCCACAUCCAAGGAAGGCAGCAGGCGCGCAAAUUACCCAAUCCCGACACGGGGAGGUAGUGACAAUAAAUAACAAUAUGGGGCUCUUACGAGUCUUGUAAUUGGAAUGAGUACAAUUUAAAUCUCUUAACGAGGAACAAUUGGAGGGCAAGUCUGGUGCCAGCAGCCGCGGUAAUUCCAGCUCCAAUAGCGUAUAUNAAAGUUGUUGCAGUUAAAAAGCUCGUAGUUGAAUUUCGGGAUUUAUCCGUCGGUCGGGCUUUUGGGUCUGUACUGGCGUGAUGGAUUCCUACCUUCUGAAUAACCGGCAUGUCAUUAAUUUGGUGCGCCGGGGAAGCAGGACUGUUACCUUGAAAAAAUUAGAGUGCUUAAAGCAGGCUUAUGCCUGAAUACAUUAGCAUGGAAUAAUGAAAUAGGACGGCAUGGUUCUAUUUUGUUGGUUUCUAGGAUCACCGUAAUGAUUAAUAGGGAUAGUUGGGGGCAUUAGUAUUCAAUUGUCAGAGGUGAAAUUCUUGGAUUUAUUGAAGACUAACUUCUGCGAAAGCAUUUGCCAAGGAUGUUUUCAUUAAUCAAGAACGAAAGUUAGGGGAUCGAAGACGAUCAGAUACCGUCGUAGUCUUAACCAUAAACUAUGCCGACUAGGGAUCGGACGAUGUUAAUUUUUUAAUGACUCGUUCGGCGCCUUACGGGAAACCAAAGUGUUUGGG